UACAGAGACCUCAAGCGUUAUCCGGAAUCAUUGGGCGUAGAGCGUACCGAUAGGUGGUUUUACAAGUCAGAAGUGAAAUCUCUCAGCUCAACUGGGAGACUGUCUUUUGAAACUGUAAAACUAGAGGGGCAAAGAGGAAGCUGGAACGAACGGUGUAGUAGUGAAAUGCGUUGAUAUCGUUCGGAACACCAAUAGCGUAGGCAGGCUUCUGGGUGCCACCUGACACUGCUAGGACGAAAGCGUGGGUAGCGAAUGGG
Molecule: ribosomal RNA, 257 nt
Filed under: uncultured bacterium
Lineage: Bacteria
Description: partial 16S ribosomal RNA
Rfam family: Bacterial small subunit ribosomal RNA
Source: RNAcentral